AGAGUUUGAUCUUGGCUCAGGAUGAACGCCGGCGGUGUGCCUAAUACAUGCAAGUCGAGCGCACUGGCCCAACUGAUAUGACGUGCUUGCACUGAAUUGACGUUGGAUUACCAGUGAGCGGCGGACGGGUGAGUAACACGUGGGCAACCUGCCCUGAAGCGGGGGAUAACAUCUGGAAACAGGUGCUAAUACCGCAUAACAACGAAAACCACAUGGUUUUCGUUUCAAAGAUGGUUUCGGCUAUCACUUCAGGAUGGGCCCGCGGUGCAUUAGCUAGUUGGUAAGGUAACGGCUUACCAAGGCAAUGAUGCAUAGCCGAGUUGAGAGACUGAUCGGCCACAAUGGAACUGAGACACGGUCCAUACUCCUACGGGAGGCAGCAGUAGGGAAUCUUCCACAAUGGGCGCAAGCCUGAUGGAGCAACACCGCGUGAGUGAAGAAGGGUUUCGGCUCGUAAAGCUCUGUUGUUGGAGAAGAACGUGCGUGAGAGUAACUGUUCACGCAGUGACGGUAUCCAACCAGAAAGUCACGGCUAACUACGUGCCAGCAGCCGCGGUAAUACGUAGGUGGCAAGCGUUAUCCGGAUUUAUUGGGCGUAAAGCGAGCGCAGGCGGUUGCUUAGGUCUGAUGUGAAAGCCUUCGGCUUAACCGAAGAAGGGCAUCGGAAACCGGGCGACUUGAGUGCAGAAGAAGACAGUGGAACUCCAUGUGUAGCGGUGGAAUGCGUAGAUAUAUGGAAAACACCAGUGGCGAAGCGGCUGUCUGGUCUGCAACUGACGCUGAGCUCGAAGCAUGGUAGCGAACAGGAUAGAUACCUGGUAUCAAGGCGAUUCUUUAACUGCAGAUAUCCUUAUGAGGUAAUCUAACUG
Molecule: ribosomal RNA, 869 nt
Filed under: uncultured microorganism
Description: bacterial SSU rRNA
Rfam family: Bacterial small subunit ribosomal RNA
Source: RNAcentral